UCAACUCGUUGAAUUUUAAGA
Molecule: non-coding RNA, 21 nt
Filed under: Caenorhabditis elegans
Lineage: Eukaryota; Metazoa; Nematoda; Chromadorea; Rhabditida; Rhabditidae
Source: RNAcentral